RNAcentral lists this long non-coding RNA (449 nucleotides) under Homo sapiens (human). Its description in RNAcentral is "HSALNT0133586". Lineage: Eukaryota; Metazoa; Chordata; Mammalia; Primates; Hominidae. The record is from RNAcentral.
UUCACUGCAAGUUUCCAGGAUCAGGUUUCCUUGGAACAGGCUCGCACAUGGCCUCUGUCUUCUAAAGCUGAUUGCUUUGCCAUGAGGGACAAAGAGAAGAAAGUACUUCUUAUCAUCAUUGUCUCUGUACCAAAACCCCAGCUCGGAUGGAUGAAUGAGGACUCAGGAGCCCACAGACUCAGAGCAAUUAGAAACUAUUACGUCCUGCACAUGGCUGGGUGAGCAGUGGGAGAAUAUUUACAAUCUCAGAAUGACGUUUCACCACGUAAGCCCUUAGCCCUAAUCUGCAUCUGAUACUGUACAUCAAGAUAACAUAAGGCUCCAUCUUCUCCAGAUCCUAGAUAUUUUACUCCUCCUAAUCUGGUGUAGUCAGUGGUAAGUGAAGAAAGAGCUUGCAAACAUUCGUUAUCAUUUCUAGUGUGCUGUCUUUGCAGAAACCUUAAGUCAAG